CCUACGGGAGGCAGCAGUGGGGAAUAUUGGGCAAUGGGCGCAAGCCUGACCCAGCAACGCCGCGUGAAGGAAGAAGGCUUUCGGGUUGUAAACUUCUUUUCUCAGGGACGAAGCAAGUGACGGUACCUGAUGAAUAAGCCACCGCUAACUACGUGCCAGCAGCCGCGGUAAUACGUAGGUGGCAAGCGUUAUCUGGAUUUACGGGGUGUAAAGGGCGUGUAGGCGGGGACGCAAGUCAGAUGUGAAAACCACGGGCUCAACCUGUGGCCUGCAUUUGAAACUGUGUUUCUUGAGUACUGGAGAGGCAGACGGAAUUCCUAGUGUAGCGGUGAAAUGCGUAGAUAUUAGGAGGAACACCAGUGGCGAAGGCGGUCUUCUGGACAGCAACUGACGCUGAGGCGCGAAAGCGUGGGGAGCAAACAGGAUUAGAUACCCGUGUAGUC
Molecule: ribosomal RNA, 443 nt
Filed under: uncultured bacterium
Lineage: Bacteria
Description: partial 16S ribosomal RNA
Rfam family: Bacterial small subunit ribosomal RNA
Source: RNAcentral